Molecule: ribosomal RNA, 506 nt
Filed under: uncultured bacterium
Lineage: Bacteria
Description: bacterial SSU rRNA
Rfam family: Bacterial small subunit ribosomal RNA
Source: RNAcentral
AAUGAACGCUGGCGGCGUGUCUUAAGCAUGCAAGUCGUGCGGCAAGGGUAGCAAUACCCCUAGAGCGGCGGACUGGUGAGUAACGCGUGGGUGAUCUGCCUCUGGGAUGGGGAUAGCCACUAGAAAUAGUGGGUAAUACCGAAUACGUUCGUCGGGCUGUGGCCUGACGAGGAAAGGCGCUUCGGCGCCACCCGGAGAUGAGCCCGCGUCCCAUUAGCUAGUUGGUGAGGUAACGGCCCACCAAGGCGAUGAUGGGUAGGCGGCCUGAGAGGGUGUACGCCCACACUGGGACUGAGAUACGGCCCAGACUCCUACGGGAGGCAGCAGCUAAGAAUAUUCCGCAAUGGACGAAAGUCUGACGGAGCGACGCCGCGUGGAUGAAGAAGGCCGAAAGGUUGUAAAAUCCUUUUGUUGGGAAGAAUAAGCGUGGAGGGAAUGCCCGCGUGAUGACAUGAACCGACGAAUAAGUCCCGGCUAACUACGUGCCAGCAGCCGGGGUAAACACG